This 429-nucleotide ribosomal RNA is filed under the name Bacteroidota bacterium. Its description in RNAcentral is "Bacteroidetes bacterium partial 16S ribosomal RNA". It matches the Rfam family "Bacterial small subunit ribosomal RNA", at positions 355 to 776 of the family's 1533-position model. The record is from RNAcentral. Lineage: Bacteria; Pseudomonadati; Bacteroidota.
UAGGGAAUCUUCGGCAAUGGGGGGAACCCUGACCGAGCAACGCCGCGUGAGUGAAGAAGGUUUUCGGAUCGUAAAGCUCUGUUGUUAAGGAAGAACGAGUGUGAGAAUGGAAAGUUCAUACUGUGACGGUACUUAACCAGAAAGGGACGGCUAACUACGUGCCAGCAGCCGCGGUAAUACGUAGGUCCCGAGCGUUGUCCGGAAUCAUUGGGCGUAAAGGGUACGUAGGCGGGUAAGCAAGUUAGAAGUGAAAUCCUGUAGCUCAACUACAGUAAGCUUUUAAAACUGCUCAUCUUGAGAUAUGGAAGGGAAAGUGGAAUUCCUAGUGUAGCGGUGAAAUGCGCAGAUAUUAGGAGGAAUACCGGUGGCGAAGGCGACUUUCUGGCCAUAAUCUGACGCUGAGGUACGAAAGCGUGGGUAGCAAACAGG